GCGGUCACGCGCGGCCUCUUUCUCUGCCGCCGCCGAGUCGCGCGGAGGCGGUGGCUCGGGUUUGUUCAAGAUUUAGCUUCGUCCGUAAUCCACCGCCAUGGCCGAGGAAGGCAUUGCUGCUGGAGGUGUAAUGGACGUCAACACUGCUUUACAAGAGGUGCUGAAGACCGCCCUCAUCCACGAUGGCCUUGCACGUGGAAUUCGCGAAGCUGCCAAAGCCUUAGACAAGUACGUUUAUCAGUCUCAAUACUGUGGGUUGUUGCA
Molecule: non-coding RNA, 264 nt
Organism: Urocitellus parryii (Arctic ground squirrel)
Lineage: Eukaryota; Metazoa; Chordata; Mammalia; Rodentia; Sciuridae
Source: RefSeq, a predicted model, not a curated record